CACAAUCCAACUCUUAGGACCUAAAUCCGUCAUCAAUGUCUCAAAUCUCAAGGGCUCACAAUCUCGUACCCUUCAGCCUAAACAAUGAUAAUAUGCGUUGUAACAAUGAAUGGUGAAUAGAGACUGAGAUAUAAUAUGGAAAUAAAGAAUCAUGAGUGAGUACAUAAUUACAGUUAAAGCAGAUAACUCAAAACAACAAAGAUGGCCUCAUCAGGUCUCAACCGAAUAAGUGCAUAGCCUAAACAUGAUUCACAGCUCAUAUAAUCAAACAAGAAGGGAGAACAUGGAUAUAACAAGAUAUGACAACAAAACAAGUCUAAUCAUAGUCUAAUAGUCAACUAAAAUCAUUAUUUCCCCGGUGCAUGCCCGCACGCUCAUCACGUAGCAUGUGCAUCAUCUCAAAACAUCUCUUAU
This 414-nucleotide long non-coding RNA is filed under the name Nicotiana benthamiana. Its description in RNAcentral is "long non-coding RNA (NBEN_LNC009181)". The record is from RNAcentral. Lineage: Eukaryota; Viridiplantae; Streptophyta; Magnoliopsida; Solanales; Solanaceae.